This 449-nucleotide ribosomal RNA is filed under the name uncultured bacterium. RNAcentral's name for it is "partial 16S ribosomal RNA". It matches the Rfam family "Bacterial small subunit ribosomal RNA", at positions 328 to 793 of the family's 1533-position model. The record is from RNAcentral.
CGUCCAGACUCCUACGGGAGGCAGCAGUCGGGAAUAUUGCGCAAUGGAGGAAACUCUGACGCAGUGACGCCGCGUAUAGGAAGAAGGUUUUCGGAUUGUAAGCUAUUGUCCACAGGGAAGAAAAAAGACUGUACCUGUGAAGAAAGCUCCGGCUAACUACGUGCCAGCAGCCGCGGUAAUACGUAGGGAGCAAGCGUUAUCCGGAAUUACUGGGUGUAAAGGGUGAGUAGGCGGCAUGGUAAGCCAGAUGUGAAAGCCUUGGGCUUAACCCGAGGAUUGCAUUUGGAACUAUCAAGCUAGAGUACAGGAGAGGAAAGCGGAAUUCCUAGUGUAGCGGUGAAAUGCGUAGAUAUUAGGAAGAACACCAGUGGCGAAGGCGGCUUUCUGGACUGAAACUGACGCUGAGGCACGAAAGCGUGGGGAGCGAACAGGAUUAGAUACCCCGGUAA